GCGAGAGUAGUACUAGGAA
RNAcentral lists this small nuclear RNA (19 nucleotides) under Arabidopsis thaliana (thale cress). RNAcentral describes it as "snRNA_04408". Lineage: Eukaryota; Viridiplantae; Streptophyta; Magnoliopsida; Brassicales; Brassicaceae. The record is from RNAcentral.